GAUGAACGCUGGCGGCGUGCCUAAUACAUGCAAGUCGAGCGAAGGGCCGGGAAGUUUGUUUCUUGGUUGUUGGGGGCGGCGGGGGGGGAAACAGUGGGAAACCUACCUUUAAGACUGGGGAAACUUUGGGAAAACGGUGCCAAAUCCGGGUAAAAAUUUUGACCCCCUGGUUUCAAAGGUAAAGACCGGCUUUCCGGUACUUAUUCGAGGAUUCCGCGCUGAUUAAGCUAGUUGGUAAGGUAACGGCUUACCAAGGCAACGAUGCAUAGCCGACCUGAGAGGGUGAUCGGCCACACUGGAACUGAGACACGGUCCAGACUCCUACGGGAGGCAGCAGUAGGGAAUCUUCCGCAAUGGGCGAAAGCCUGACGGAGCAACGCCGCGUGAGUGAUGAAGGUCUUCGGAUCGUAAAACUCUGUUAUUAGGGAAGAACAUAUGUGUAAGUAACUGUGCACAUCUUGACGGUACCUAAUCAGAAAGCCACGGCUAACUACGUG
This 497-nucleotide ribosomal RNA is filed under the name uncultured bacterium. RNAcentral describes it as "partial 16S ribosomal RNA". It matches the Rfam family "Bacterial small subunit ribosomal RNA", at positions 28 to 507 of the family's 1533-position model. The record is from RNAcentral.